GGGUUGUGAGGUUAAGCGACUAAGCGUACAUGGUGGAUGCCCUGGCAGUCAGAGGCGAUGAAGGACGUGCUAAUCUGCGAUAAGCGUCGGUGAGGUGAUAUGAACCGUUAUAACCGGCGAUUUCCGAAUGGGGAAACCCAGUGUGUUUCGACACACUAUCAUUAACUGAAUCCAUAGGUUAAUGAGGCGAACCGGGGGAACUGAAACAUCUAAGUACCCCGAGGAAAAGAAAUCAACCGAGAUUCCCCCAGUAGCGGCGAGCGAACGGGGAGGAGCCCAGAGCCUGAAUCAGUGUGUGUGUUAGUGGAAGCGUCUGGAAAGGCGUGCGAUACAGGGUGACAGCCCCGUACACAAAAAUGCACAUAUUGUGAGCUCGAUGAGUAGGGCGGGACACGUGGUAUCCUGUCUGAAUAUGGGGGGACCAUCCUCCAAGGCUAAAUACUCCUGACUGACCGAUAGUGAACCAGUACCGUGAGGGAAAGGCGAAAAGAACCCCGGCGAGGGGAGUGAAAAAGAACCUGAAACCGUGUACGUACAAGCAGUGGGAGCCUCUUAAUGAGGUGACUGCGUACCUUUUGUAUAAUGGGUCAGCGACUUAUAUUCUGUAGCAAGGUUAACCGAAUAGGGGAGCCGAAGGGAAACCGAGUCUUAACUGGGCGUUAAGUUGCAGGGUAUAGACCCGAAACCCGGUGAUCUAGCCAUGGGCAGGUUGAAGGUUGGGUAACACUAACUGGAGGACCGAACCGACUAAUGUUGAAAAAUUAGCGGAUGACUUGUGGCUGGGGGUGAAAGGCCAAUCAAACCGGGAGAUAGCUGGUUCUCCCCGAAAGCUAUUUAGGUAGCGCCUCGUGAAUUCAUCUCCGGGGGUAGAGCACUGUUUCGGCAAGGGGGUCAUCCCGACUUACCAACCCGAUGCAAACUGCGAAUACCGGAGAAUGUUAUCACGGGAGACACACGGCGGGUGCUAACGUCCGUCGUGAAGAGGGAAACAACCCAGACCGCCAGCUAAGGUCCCAAAGUCAUGGUUAAGUGGGAAACGAUGUGGGAAGGCCCAGACAGCCAGGAUGUUGGCUUAGAAGCAGCCAUCAUUUAAAGAAAGCGUAAUAGCUCACUGGUCGAGUCGGCCUGCGCGGAAGAUGUAACGGGGCUAAACCAUGCACCGAAGCUGCGGCAGCGACACUAUGUGUUGUUGGGUAGGGGAGCGUUCUGUAAGCCUGUGAAGGUGGCCUGUGAGGGUUGCUGGAGGUAUCAGAAGUGCGAAUGCUGACAUAAGUAACGAUAAAGCGGGUGAAAAGCCCGCUCGCCGGAAGACCAAGGGUUCCUGUCCAACGUUAAUCGGGGCAGGGUGAGUCGACCCCUAAGGCGAGGCCGAAAGGCGUAGUCGAUGGGAAACAGGUUAAUAUUCCUGUACUUGGUGUUACUGCGAAGGGGGGACGGAGAAGGCUAUGUUGGCCGGGCGACGGUUGUCCCGGUUUAAGCGUGUAGGCUGGUUUUCCAGGCAAAUCCGGAAAACCAAGGCUGAGGCGUGAUGACGAGGCACUACGGUGCUGAAGCGACAAAUGCCCUGCUUCCAGGAAAAGCCUCUAAGCAUCAGGUAACAUCAAAUCGUACCCCAAACCGACACAGGUGGUCAGGUAGAGAAUACCAAGGCGCUUGAGAGAACUCGGGUGAAGGAACUAGGCAAAAUGGUGCCGUAACUUCGGGAGAAGGCACGCUGAUAUGUAGGUGAAGCGACUUGCUCGUGGAGCUGAAAUCAGUCGAAGAUACCAGCUGGCUGCAACUGUUUAUUAAAAACACAGCACUGUGCAAACACGAAAGUGGACGUAUACGGUGUGACGCCUGCCCGGUGCCGGAAGGUUAAUUGAUGGGGUUAGCGGCAACGCGAAGCUCUUGAUCGAAGCCCCGGUAAACGGCGGCCGUAACUAUAACGGUCCUAAGGUAGCGAAAUUCCUUGUCGGGUAAGUUCCGACCUGCACGAAUGGCGUAAUGAUGGCCAGGCUGUCUCCACCCGAGACUCAGUGAAAUUGAACUCGCUGUGAAGAUGCAGUGUACCCGCGGCAAGACGGAAAGACCCCGUGAACCUUUACUAUAGCUUGACACUGAACAUUGAGCCUUGAUGUGUAGGAUAGGUGGGAGGCUUUGAAGUGUGGACGCCAGUCUGCAUGGAGCCGACCUUGAAAUACCACCCUUUAAUGUUUGAUGUUCUAACGUUGGCCCGUAAUCCGGGUUGCGGACAGUGUCUGGUGGGUAGUUUGACUGGGGCGGUCUCCUCCUAAAGAGUAACGGAGGAGCACGAAGGUUGGCUAAUCCUGGUCGGACAUCAGGAGGUUAGUGCAAUGGCAUAAGCCAGCUUGACUGCGAGCGUGACGGCGCGAGCAGGUGCGAAAGCAGGUCAUAGUGAUCCGGUGGUUCUGAAUGGAAGGGCCAUCGCUCAACGGAUAAAAGGUACUCCGGGGAUAACAGGCUGAUACCGCCCAAGAGUUCAUAUCGACGGCGGUGUUUGGCACCUCGAUGUCGGCUCAUCACAUCCUGGGGCUGAAGUAGGUCCCAAGGGUAUGGCUGUUCGCCAUUUAAAGUGGUACGCGAGCUGGGUUUAGAACGUCGUGAGACAGUUCGGUCCCUAUCUGCCGUGGGCGCUGGAGAACUGAGGGGGGCUGCUCCUAGUACGAGAGGACCGGAGUGGACGCAUCACUGGUGUUCGGGUUGUCAUGCCAAUGGCACUGCCCGGUAGCUAAAUGCGGAAGAGAUAAGUGCUGAAAGCAUCUAAGCACGAAACUUGCCCCGAGAUGAGUUCUCCCUGACUCCUUGAGAGUCCUGAAGGAACGUUGAAGACGACGACGUUGAUAGGCCGGGUGUGUAAGCGCAGCGAUGCGUUGAGCUAACCGGUACUAAUGAACCGUGAGGCUUAACCUUACAACGCCGAAG
RNAcentral lists this ribosomal RNA (2925 nucleotides) under Escherichia coli. RNAcentral's name for it is "23S ribosomal RNA". It matches the Rfam family "Bacterial large subunit ribosomal RNA". The record is from RNAcentral. Lineage: Bacteria; Pseudomonadati; Pseudomonadota; Gammaproteobacteria; Enterobacterales; Enterobacteriaceae.